UGUGGCAGGAAGAGAAAUGGCAGCAUUCAUUUCGUGGAGACUUUUCGCCUCGUGUCAAAUGCCACUCUGUCUGACAACAACAACCCACAGAACAACUGCAUCCCGAGUCAGUUCUUCAUCAUUAUCAUCUCUGUCUUUGUUGCCACUGUCAUCAUUCUAAUAAUGGGUGGGGUUUUCACACUGCUGUGCUUGAGGAAGAAAAACAGCAGCACACAGCUGGAUGAU
Pundamilia nyererei is the source of this 225-nucleotide long non-coding RNA. RefSeq lists it as uncharacterized. The transcript is spliced from 3 exons. Lineage: Eukaryota; Metazoa; Chordata; Actinopteri; Cichliformes; Cichlidae. The record is from RefSeq and is a predicted model, not a curated record.